This 253-nucleotide ribosomal RNA is filed under the name uncultured bacterium. RNAcentral's name for it is "partial 16S ribosomal RNA". It matches the Rfam family "Bacterial small subunit ribosomal RNA", at positions 524 to 776 of the family's 1533-position model. The record is from RNAcentral.
UACAGAGGAUGCAAGCGUUAUCCGGAAUGAUUGGGCGUAAAGCGUCUGUAGGUGGCUUUUUAAGUCCGCCGUCAAAUCCCAGGGCUCAACCCUGGACAGGCGGUGGAAACUACCAAGCUGGAGUACGGUAGGGGCAGAGGGAAUUUCCGGUGGAGCGGUGAAAUGCGUAGAUAUCUGGAGGAACACCGGUGGCGAAGGCGGCAUCCUGGACCAACACUGACACUGAUGAGCGAAAGCCAGGGGAGCAAACGGG